RNAcentral lists this ribosomal RNA (203 nucleotides) under uncultured bacterium. RNAcentral describes it as "partial 16S ribosomal RNA". It matches the Rfam family "Bacterial small subunit ribosomal RNA", at positions 1301 to 1500 of the family's 1533-position model. The record is from RNAcentral.
UAGGCUGAAACUACGCCUACAUGAAGCUGGAGUUGCUAGUAAUCGCGAAUCAGCAUGUCGCGGUGAAUACGUUCCCGGGCCUUGUACACACCGCCCGUCACACCAUGAGAGUUGGCAAUACCCAACGUACGUGAUCCAACCCGCAAGGGAGGAAGCGUCCUAAGGUAGGGUCAGCGAUUGGGGUGAAGUCGUAACAAGGUACC